GGGGGGGGGGGGGGGGGGGGGGGGGGGGUGGGGGUCGGGCGGGGGGGGGGGGAGCUGGCUGGUCUGACGUUAGCGGCGGGCGGGUGCGUAACACGUGGAUAACCUACCUAUGAGACUUGGAUAACUUCGUGAAACCGGCGCUAAUACCGGAUAAUAUCUUGCACCGCAUGUUUCAAUAGUGAAAGACGGUUUUGCUUUCACUUCUAUCUGGCUCCGCGCCGCAUUAGCUAGUUGGUAAGGUACCUGCUUACCAAGGCAACGAUGCGUAGCCGACCUGAGAGGGUGAUCGGCCACACUGGAACUGAGACACGGUCCAGACUCCUACGGGAGGCAGCAGUAGGGAAUCUUCCGCAAUGGGCGAAAGCCUGACGGAGCAACGCCGCGUGAGUGAUGAAGGUCUUCGGAUCGUAAAACUCUGUUAUUAGGGAAGAACAAAUGUGUAAGUAACUAUGCACGUCUUGACGGUACCUAAUCAGAAAGCCACGGCUAACUACGUG
RNAcentral lists this ribosomal RNA (497 nucleotides) under uncultured bacterium. Its description in RNAcentral is "partial 16S ribosomal RNA". It matches the Rfam family "Bacterial small subunit ribosomal RNA", at positions 27 to 507 of the family's 1533-position model. The record is from RNAcentral.